This 21-nucleotide microRNA is filed under the name Arabidopsis lyrata. RNAcentral's name for it is "aly-miR3449-5p". The record is from miRBase by way of RNAcentral. Lineage: Eukaryota; Viridiplantae; Streptophyta; Magnoliopsida; Brassicales; Brassicaceae.
UCUAGAUUGCUUUCGGUCUGU